UUUUUCUCGUUUUUAUGGCAGAUGCAAAUUAUUAUCAUUAAGGAACUGAAACAAAGUACCGCAACUCUGCCAACAUAGUUACUUUAUCUGCUUUGAUUAGAAAAUCCCUGAACUUCUUCCCAGUGUGUGCCUCCUCACCCCUGUGAUCCAAAUAGUGACUUUUCGACAAAUUCUAAAGUGUGUGGCCUCCUUCAAACACGUAACAUCUAGUAAAUGUCUACAGUUAGAGCCAUUGGACAGUGACAUAGUGUAAAUCUGCUUCUGUACACAGGGGGUUUUAAAUCAAUCAGUAUGUAAUUGAAGUGCACAUAACAAAUUUGUAUUAAGUGUUUGGGAAUUGUUUGUUUUUUAGGAUUUUUUUUUUUUUUUUUUUUUUUUUUUUUGAACUCCUAUCCAGACCUUCCUAUGGUUGGAAACGUGUUUGAACAACAUUUGACCGAGAGUUUACUGAUCUACAGGGUUGAGACGGGUGUACUUCAUGUUUCAGGAGGAAAUGCUGGCUGUGUGCUGGUAAUAUAGCUGCAUUUUAAAAUGCUUACACAGCUUGUGUGAAAUGCCAGAGACUUAACUGGAUCUGCUCAGGAAUGUGACAAGUGACUAAGGUGUUAUGUCCAGUGAAGAUGGAGGCAAGGAGAGCGGAGCAUGUUAGGUUGGAGUUUACAGGAAAAGGGGUUUUUUUUUGUUUUGUUUUUUCUGCCUGUAUUGAUCUGUGGUAGCAGAAGGAAAUUAAGCAGCAUCCUGCAGUGUUGGCAUGUUUAAUUGCAGCAUACUGUGUCAAGCUGCCGUGUCUAAUUAAAUGUAUCAUUUAAUUGGUCAGGCUCUGCAAGAAACAAUGUCUAGGAAGUAAAUAAAUCUGAUAUCUGUUGAAUAAAUUUGGUGACACAAUAUGCAAUAUAACCCAAGCAUUAAAAAAGAACAAAAAACAAACUAUUAAAGUUGUGACAUUCCACCAUUGGGCAACUGGAUUAGCUUUUUUUUUGUUUUGUUUUGUUUUUUUUAAUUUAUUAAUCUGUACUGUGAAUGUGUACUUAAGAGAAGUGGUCAUUAACACCAGAAAUAAUCUGAGCAAAUAGAGUAAAAUCCAGCACAGCAGCCAAAAAUGUUUCAGGCCUGAGGAGGUGAAGCUGCAGACAGAGGAGCAGAGGAGACAGGCUGCAGGUUCGGUGAUCGGAAGCAGAUGUGGACAAGAUGAUGAAUUUUGACCGUUUUACUUUUUACAAUAAUUAUUUAAAUGUUUCUUUCUUUUUGUAUCUUGGUCAAUUUAAAAUGUAGUCUGUGAGAAUGUGUAGUUCAGUCUGUCUCACAGUGUGCACUCUGUUUUUGUAAGUAUUUAAUUUUAAUUUUUAACUUGUGUGUUUAUUUAUAUUGGUACAUCUUUUAUUUAUUUAAUUUUUAGGGAUUACUUUAGAUUGUGAUCUCAAAUACUUGUUUUAUCAAAUCUUAAUUAAAAUUUGACAAAUGAAAUUAAAAUAAACAACUUGAAGAAAUUAA
Molecule: long non-coding RNA, 1491 nt
Organism: Oreochromis niloticus (Nile tilapia)
Lineage: Eukaryota; Metazoa; Chordata; Actinopteri; Cichliformes; Cichlidae
Exons: 2
Source: RefSeq, a predicted model, not a curated record